GUGGAUUAGAUACCCGGGUAGUCCUAGCUGUAAACGGUGCACGCUUGCUGUAAGUGGAAUCAACCCCACUUGUGGCGUAGCUAACGCGAUAAGCGUGCCGCCUGGGAAGUACGGUCGCAAGAUUAAAACUCAAAGAAAUUGACGGGGGCCUGCACAAGCGGUGGAGUAUGUGGCUUAAUUCGAUGCAACGCGAAGAACCUUACCUGGCCUUGACAUGCAAGUAGUAGAACCAUGAAAGUGGGACGAGGUAGCAAUACCAGCUUGCACAGGUGCUGCACGGUCGUCGACAGCU
RNAcentral lists this ribosomal RNA (292 nucleotides) under uncultured bacterium. Its description in RNAcentral is "partial 16S ribosomal RNA". It matches the Rfam family "Bacterial small subunit ribosomal RNA", at positions 773 to 1060 of the family's 1533-position model. The record is from RNAcentral.